This 498-nucleotide ribosomal RNA is filed under the name uncultured bacterium. Its description in RNAcentral is "partial 16S ribosomal RNA". It matches the Rfam family "Bacterial small subunit ribosomal RNA", at positions 30 to 523 of the family's 1533-position model. The record is from RNAcentral.
AUUGAACGCUGGCGGCAUGCCUUACACAUGCAAGUCGAACGGUAACAGGUCUUCGGAUGCUGACGAGUGGCGAACGGGUGAGUAAUACAUCGGAACGUGCCCGAUCGUGGGGGAUAACGAAGCGAAAGCUUUGCUAAUACCGCAUAAGAUCCAAGGAUGAAAGCAGGGGACCGCAAGGCCUUGCGCGAACGGAGCGGCCGAUGGCAGAUUAGGUAGUUGGUGGGAUAAAAGCUUACCAAGGCGACGAUCUGUAGCUGGUCUGAGAGGACGACCAGCCACACUGGGACUGAGACACGGCCCAGACUCCUACGGGAGGCAGCAGUGGGGAAUUUUGGACAAUGGGCGAAAGCCUGAUCCAGCCAUGCCGCGUGCAGGAUGAAGGCCUUCGGGUUGUAAACUGCUUUUGUACGGAACGAAAAGACUCUGGUUAAUACCUGGGGUUCAUGACGGUACCGUAAGAAUAAGCACCGGCUAACUACGUGCCAGCCGCCGCCGUAA